RNAcentral lists this long non-coding RNA (2260 nucleotides) under Heterocephalus glaber (naked mole-rat). RNAcentral's name for it is "lncRNA (ENSHGLG00100047498.1)". Lineage: Eukaryota; Metazoa; Chordata; Mammalia; Rodentia; Bathyergidae. The record is from RNAcentral.
CUUGGCAACGCUCUGCAUGGCCUUAUUUUCCCCCAUUCAUGUUUCACAGACAAGGAAACCACAAAGAUUCUGUCUCUCUGUCCAUCUGCCUGACACAGACAUGUGCCACCUACCCGGCCUCCCCACACUCAGCGUGUCCUGGUCUCCGUGCGAGGCUGUGGGCACCGUGCACUUGCAGAGUGAGAGGGCCAGUGUGCAACAUCAGUCAGUGUAGGCAGGGUGCUCAGGCCCUCGGGCUGCCCUGCCCGGAGCUUUGGGGGACACUGGUCCCCUCUUCUCCCCGAAGCCAUUCAGGCUGGUCAGUUAGGACUCAGUGGUGCAGACCCAGAGCUGAUUCCUCAGCUAACGCAGUGAGGUUGUCUUAGCCAGUCUGUUACUGUGUGUUCUUCAGAAACAGUUACAGCUUGCUUUUAGCAUCAAUGUAUUUUUUAUAAUAGAAAAAGAAACGAUACUACCAAAUAAUAUGAAGCAAGUUUACUACCACCCAAAGAAAACAUUAAACAUACUGUAUAUCUUUCUGAUGUUUUUAAAAAUACAUAUGUAACACACACCUAGAGAUCACUGUAAUGGGAAUGUACUUAUUUUUCCACUUGGUACCUUAUUCAUAGUUUACGUAUGUUAAAAAAUAGAUUUCCAUGUGAAUAUUUUUAAUUGGUGCGUGGUUGUAGUGCAUAAUGGCCGUGGCUUUCUGGGCUCUCGGUGGGAUCCUGUGUCUGCAGCACUUGGAGGUCUAGUUAGACUUGUGAUCUGCUAGGCAAAUGCAGUAGGGGCAGAAGCCUUUCAUUGCUGAUGAGAGACUGCAGUGACAUUUGUUCAUGGAGGUCGUGGAGAGAGAAGUGUGAGUGACUGUGUGUGUGUGUGUGGGGGUGUUAACUGCAGCCUGAUCUAGCCUGUAUGUAUAGCAAUAUUCUGCUUUUCAUCAUGAGAUAAACCAUUGCUUUUUUCACCAGUCCUAAGUUGCACUUAGAUUAUAAAGGUUGAAUAUCUCUUAUCUGACAUGCUUAGGAGCAGAAGAGAUACCGGAUUCUGGGGUUUUCUGGAUUCUGAACUAUCUAUAUAGACUUUACUGGUUCAGUAUCCCUAAUCCUGAAGUCUGUCAAAGUUUGAAACUUUUUGAAUGCUGACAUGACACUUGUGGAUCAUUCCAGAUUUGGGGUUUUCAGAUUUCAACCUGUGUAUGUUUAGAUUAUUUAUCCUAUUUUUGUGAGACAAGGUCCUACUAUGUAGCCUAGGCUGGCCUUGAACUCUUGAUCCUUCUGCCUCAGCCUCCCAAGUGUUAGGAGUAUAGGGAUGUACCACCAUGUCCAGUUUUUUUUAGCAUUUUAAUUAAAACAUUAAAUAAGACACUAAGCACAACAUCUUUGUAUGUCUAGCUUUGCCCAUUUUUCCUUAAAUUCUUAAAAGUAGGAAUUGGUUUAAGCUCUGACAAUUCAAACUCUGGUCUGUAUGACCUCAAAAUCCAUCCUCAUUUUUCUAGUACCAUUUCUGGCUCUUUCAUAUUUGAAACAUUUAUAUAUAUAUGUAUGUAUGUAUGGAAUUUGACACUAUGCAGAAAAAGCAACUGGAAUUUGUUUACAACAUUAGCAGGGCACUGUGGUUUUGUACAUUAGUAUAUUCUCUGGAAGCGUGAGGUCUAAGGCCAGGAGACACGCUAGAACUCUGCUCACCAUUCAUUUUCUUUUCCUUCUAGAAUCAUGAGUUGGUGGUGGCACUGGUAGGUAACUUCUGUGGUGAUCAUACCAAGUUUACUACAAACUGAUCAUUCACUUCAAUAUGUCUGAAGGAACAGUGAUUCUCAAUCUGUUUUAUGAUACCUAUUUUACUUUUAUUUGAAUUAGAUGAAUGUUAAUGCAUAGCAAAGAAUGUAGGGAGUGUCACCAGAUCAAGCUAAGAAAAUUUAAACUUGGGAAUCACUUUUCUAGGUUAUGGCAGUUAAAACCAUGAGACUCUUCUUCGGUUUUUGAGACAGGGUCUUGCUCCAUAGUUCAGACCGACCUUGAACAUUGUAGGCCACGCUGGCCUUGAACUCAGCGAUCCUCCUGCCUCAGUGCUGGGAUUACAGGCAUGUACCACUGCAUCCGGCAAAGCCAUGACACUCUUUAAGGAAUUUUUACAUAAAUUUUCCCUUGUUCCUAUAGUGUUUGAGAAUUGUCAGUUUCUUUACAAACUCUACCAUGAAAAUUAAACCCAACCAGUGACGUCCCAAAACAAUCCCAUGAUUUUAGUAUUUCUGUGUGUCAUUACCUUAUUAAAUAAAUAU